This 72-nucleotide microRNA precursor is filed under the name Xiphophorus maculatus (southern platyfish). RNAcentral describes it as "mir-551 microRNA precursor family". It matches the Rfam family "mir-551 microRNA precursor family". The record is from Rfam by way of RNAcentral. Lineage: Eukaryota; Metazoa; Chordata; Actinopteri; Cyprinodontiformes; Poeciliidae.
UGCCCUUAGAAACUAAGUGUGGGUGUGGCCUGAAAAACAAAGAUGGCGACCCAUCCUUAGCUUCUGAGGCCU